UACGGAGGAUCCAAGCGUUAUCCGGAAUCAUUGGGUUUAAAGGGCUCGUAGGCGGUUUGGUAAGUCAGUGGUGAAAGCCCAUCGCUCAACGGUGGAACGGCCAUUGAUACUGCCAGACUUGAAUUAUUAGGAAGUAACUAGAAUAUGUAGUGUAGCGGUGAAAUGCUUAGAGAUUACAUGGAAUACCAAUUGCGAAGGCAGGUUACUACUAAUGGAUUGACGCUGAUGGACGAAAGCGUGGGUAGCGAACAGG
This 253-nucleotide ribosomal RNA is filed under the name uncultured bacterium. RNAcentral describes it as "partial 16S ribosomal RNA". It matches the Rfam family "Bacterial small subunit ribosomal RNA", at positions 524 to 776 of the family's 1533-position model. The record is from RNAcentral.